RNAcentral lists this unclassified non-coding RNA (2266 nucleotides) under Leishmania donovani. RNAcentral's name for it is "gene:LdHU3.35.3830(CDS-product:dolichol_kinase_pu tative)". The record is from RNAcentral. Lineage: Eukaryota; Euglenozoa; Kinetoplastea; Trypanosomatida; Trypanosomatidae.
UGUUCUCAUUUGCGCUUCUUGAGUCGAGAGCUGUUGUUUACGGCAUCCUAGGGGGCAGCCGAAAGCAACGCCGCCACACACCCGUGACAGGCGUCCGACGUCUUGCGUUGCCUGUGUGUCGGUGCUCGUUGUCUUUAUCGCUCUUCUGCCUAAAACUUGUCGAGUAUUUUUUUUUCAGUGGUCUGCGUCCGUACGCACACAUCCUUGAUCGCAUUACACACAUACGCACUCGCUGACCGACGCCACCGUACAGACGAGCAGUCGCACGUACAAUUUGAAUGAAGUAUCCCAUGUAUUUUCGCAAGUCGCCCGCGGCGGACGCGAAGAAUUCUCCGUUGAGUUCGCGUCCUGCGGCGGAGGCGGACGCGAACGCAGAGCGUCCUCGGAGGCGAACCGAAAUCUCUUACUCAUCAACACUGUUGUUGAUGUGGGCGUUUUUGCUGGCGCAUGUCUCGUGGAAGGCGCAUUUUCGAAUGCAGGCGGGCAGCAUUCUUGUUCUCUGCACUGUGGCCCUCACGUCGGAGCACGGCGAAAGUCGGCUGCUGAUGCCGCUCAUUUUCUUGUCCGAGCGCUGCCUCGAUCACGCGAUGAAUCUCGGGCACUCGCCGAUUCUGUUUUAUGCUUCGACACUGCUCUCCUACCUGUCUUUGGUCGCUGCAAAGGCCGAGAGGCGGGGGAAGUCGCCGCGUGACCGCAACGUAGUCGCCGAGACGGUCCUCUACGCCGUCGUCGGCUUGGCGGUGGUCUUUUUCAUUGUGCAGGAUAGGGUCAUAUCCCUCGGCGGCAUCGCGUACGUCUUGUCAGGAUAUAUUUUCUUUCUGAAGAUGUUGCCCGUCAUUGGCGACAACGAGGCCAUCCUCAUCGGCUCCCUUGUUGGCUUUUACUUCUGCGACAUUUGCGUCAACAACAACCUUAGCUUCGACGGUGGUCGUGAGUCGGUGUUGUCGCUGAACGCGCCGGGGUACCGGACGUCGUACACGCACAUUGCGAGUCGCGGCGUGAUUCUGUGCGCUAUCUACAUUGUCAUACUCGUCUCCGUUCUUUCGAGAUGGUGUCUCAUCCCGACAAACAAAAACUCCAAAUCGUCGCGCCGUCGCGUGAGCCGAAAGCGCAUCAGCAUCGUCUUCUGGGUGUCGAACGCGGUGGUCGGGGCCAUGCUGGCCCUUCUCAUUAGUUACCAGUUUCGCGAAAACGUUCUUCGCUGGCUCUUUGCCUACUUUGUCUCUAGCCGCUUCCGCAUGUGGACACUCGUAUGCUGGUUUACGCUGCUGCCAUUUGCAGUGUACCUCGUGGACGUGCUAUCUAUGCAGCUUCGGCCAUCAGUGCGUCGUAAGCUGUUCCACUUCAUCGGCGUCGUCGCUUUCACUCCGGCGACGAUGAUUGAUCCGCCAUUCAUGGCAUUCGCGUUAUCCACCGCUAUCAGCUUAUGCGUCUUGGUGGAGGUGGCGCGAUACUACAAUGUGUACGGCUCUGAGUGCAUAUCGCGCUUCAUGUCUCGCCACAUAGACGACCGCGAGCACAUCGACGGCGUCGUGCGCACCCACAUUUACCUCCUCCUUGGCUUUGGCAUCUCUCUGAUGAUGCGCUGCAGGCAAUUGUCCAUCGAUGGCCCGCCGGUCCCAGCCAUCAUCGAGCUCUCCAUCAACAUGAUUCCAGGCGUUGUUUCGCUUGGCAUCGUGGACGCGUGCGCGGCCAUCACCGGGAGCUCGUUGUUUCUGAGCUCCCGACGUACGCUUGGACGAUACCUAAAGAACGGGCUCUUCACAGAGCGCGCUAACGCGUCCAUUACGCACAAGACGACUACCGGCACCCUGGGAGGACUUGUGUGUGGCUUGGUUUUCUGGGGCGUGAUUCUCGCGAUCGCUGAGGUGCCCAUCACAGGCCCUGCGUUCUAUUCGUUUACCAUGAUUGCCGUGUGCACUCUGACCGAGUGCUUCAUGGACGGCGUCGACAACCUGCAGCUGCCUAUGGUCGUGCUAGGAGCCGUGAACAACCUGUUCGCACUGCUGUUACCGGUGGAGGGUUUGUGGGUAAACCCUGCCAUCACACGGCCAAACCCCACAACGGCGAGAUCGAUGGCCAAUGCCUUAACAUCGCCGUGGAAGAGCUUCCCUUCCCCCGUUUCGGACUCUUGAUAAAGUUGGAUGUUACAGCGCUUCAGCGCUUGUGCUGUCUUUUCACCGUUUUUUUUUUGUGUUUUGUUUCCUCUGCUGUAUUAGGCCAGCGCAACAUGUGCGGCUUUUACAGUUUGUUCGUGAACCACAAC